AACUUUAGCGGCAAAUUGAAACGUAUAGUCGAGUUCGUCUGCUCUCUGCUGUCACAUUAUUCACAACUUCAAUUUGUCAUCAGCACCCAUAACAUGCUUUCACUUGUGCCUAACAAAAUUGCGUCUUUAGUUUCGUACAAAUUGCACACUCGAUUCCUAUCUUUUACCUCUUAUAAUAAUUAUAAUACGCCCAUUCCGUUUUCGAAGGCCAAAGAGGGGAAUUUCAUACAAGAUGCUCCACAUCUGGAGAACUCUUUCGAGGGUGACGCACUUUUGCAAAGAAAUCUACAACGAAUUUUGCCAAUUGAAGCUUACAGCAAUGUCAAGGAUGAGCUCUCAACCUUUGGUGCUCGUGUAGCUACAGACAUCUACAAGCUGGGCAGAGAGUGUGAACUAAGCCCACCUUAUUUGAAGCUUCAAGAUGCUUGGGCCAAUCCUCAAAACAAAGUUGUGACUUGUGAAUCGUGGAAAGAACUGAAGAGGAUAUCUGCUAGAGAGGGACUGAUUGCUCUGGCUUAUGAGAGGGAUCCAAAACACCAAGGAUUUAGUCGCCUCAUCCAGAUGUCCAAAAACUACCUAUUUGCCCCUUCAUCUGGAUUGUAUAGCUGUCCAUUAGCCAUGACAGAUGGAGCUGCAAAAACAUUGGAGGUUAGUGGGUUAAAAGACCAUGGUGAAUCCUUUAAAAAUUUGACAUCACGAGACCCAGAGAAGUUUUGGACAUCUGGUCAAUGGAUGACAGAGAAAAGAGGUGGAUCUGACGUUGCGGGAGGCACUGAAACUCUUGCCAUUCAGGAUCCAAACAAGGAAAAUAUGUACAAGCUUUAUGGCUACAAGUUCUUUAGUUCUGCAACGGAUGCCGAUAUCGCCUUGACUUUAGCUCGAGUGGUAGAUCCUGCUACUGGCAAAAUUACUUUGGGUACCAAAGGAUUGUCGUUGUUUCUUGUCUACGUGGACCAGCCAAGCAAUUUGCAUCUUAUGCGCUUGAAACAGAAAUUGGGAACGAAACAAUUACCCACCGGUGAGCUUUUGCUGGAUGGUAUGGCUGCGGAGUUGAUAAGUCCACCUGGUCGAGGCGUUCCGUCCAUUUCUCAAAUGCUCAACAUCACUCGACUGCACAACGCUUCUGGUUCCGUUUCCGCAAUGCGCAGGAUUAUCAGUUUAGCUCGAGAUUACAGCAAUAGGCGAGUGGCCUUCGGGAAACUUAUUCGCAAUCACCCACUGCACGUCCGCACCCUUGCCGACAUGGAACUGGAAUGCCGAGCUGGAUUUUCCUUAUUUAUGGAAGCCGGUCGUUUACUCAGUUUGGAAGAAAAUGGAACGCCCACCAUCGAACAGCAACAAUUACUCCGCCUGCUCCUCCCAUUGUUGAAACUGUACACGGGAAAGCAGUGCAUGAAAGUCGUGUCGGAAGGGCUGGAAUCCUUUGGAGGACAAGGAUACAUGGAAGAUACUGGUAUCCCCGUGAUUUUACGUGAUGCCCAGGUAACACCAAUCUGGGAAGGAACUACAAACAUUUUGAGUUUGGACGUACUCAGAGCAUUGGCCAAAAGUCAAGGCCAAGUGUUGGUUGCGUUUCACCAGAGAAUUCAAGGUGUUCUCGACUCGACGACCAACCCGUCCUUAGCCGAGUGUUGCGCUCAAUUGGAGAAAUACCGUUCCCAAUUGAUUUCGUUCGCCCAGAAGAAUCCCGAUCAGUUGGAAUACGUCGCCCGUGAUUUCGCUUUCGGCCUAGCUCGUACUCUAGCCGGUGCCUUGCUCCUGGAACACGCUUCAUGGGGCAGAGCAGUAGACAGCGAUCGUGCUGCAGCCGAACGUUGGCUAGGACAACGAGAUCUCCUUGCCCAAUCUCUGGUUUCAGGACAGACUGCAAGCCAUUCAUCGCUAUCCGUCCAGCAACUCGACGAAGCUUUGGUCUUUGAUGGAUACGAUCAAAAGAACCUACUCUCGCCCCUCUUUUGAACUUUUCCCCAUUUCAGUCUUUCCCUUCUCAUUAAAACGAAACUCAGGAUAGAAUAUGGUCUGAAACUUAUAAUGCAAUGUUUUAUUUUUAUAGGAAAGAGAAUUUGUUGUGACAGAAAAGGGCAGCAUUCGGCACUACAACUUAUACAGAGCCAGAGCUGGAUGUGUACUACCUGAUAAAUAAGAAAAAAGAUUCGCACUGCCAGUCUCACAGAAGAUUCUUGAAUUUCGUGGACAACACUCAAUAACCGUGCUGCUCUGCAUAAUAGCCGGUUCUCCCAAGUUAUCCGCAGUUUAUUUUGUAAAACUUCCAGUAUUUAGAUUGAAUUUUGAAAACAACGGCACAAAAAUGGAGACAAGUGUUGUGGAGCAAUCCAGCUUAGACCCAAACCCGCUACAAACUGCUGCCAAACGAAUCGUGGUUUAUUCCAUGAUUUGUGGACUUUUAGGAAUUAUUUUUAAUUUUAUUUGGAUGUUGACGACUGCUCCAUCAACAACUGAACAGAGUAUCUCGAUCAUUGGGAUAGUUACAGCGUUUGUCUUCAUCGGUGUCACCAUCCUUCUUUAUACCGCUGCCUGUCAGGAUAACAAUCCGAUUCUGCUUUUACCAUGGCUCAUAUACCAGGCCCUUUUGUUACCUUUAUUAACAGCCUGCUGGUUAAUUCUGAUUGAGAUGGCAAUUGACCGCCAUGAUGUUAGAAUAUUUGACCUUAUAAUUAUUCUUUUAAGAAUACUGGUCAACGCCUACUGCACAUGGAUCAUUUUAAUCUACUAUCGUGCAUUGAAAGAAAAGAGGAAUUCCAAGAACAACGCACAGCUGGAGAGCCCCGACCCGUGAAAUGAUAAUCUUGUGGUAGAUAUUUGAAUUAUCCUAUAAAACAAAAGACGCGCUCAAACAUUUAUUUAUUCGCCAAACACAUGGAGAAAUGGUUAUGUUUUAAUAAAAU
Molecule: unclassified non-coding RNA, 2906 nt
Filed under: Daphnia pulicaria
Lineage: Eukaryota; Metazoa; Arthropoda; Branchiopoda; Diplostraca; Daphniidae
Description: acyl-CoA dehydrogenase family member 11-like, transcript variant X3
Source: RNAcentral